Molecule: ribosomal RNA, 707 nt
Filed under: uncultured Bacteroidales bacterium
Lineage: Bacteria; Pseudomonadati; Bacteroidota; Bacteroidia; Bacteroidales
Description: bacterial SSU rRNA
Rfam family: Bacterial small subunit ribosomal RNA
Source: RNAcentral
CAGGCUUAACACAUGCAAGUCGAGGGGCAGCAUGGUCUUAGCUUGCUAAGGCCGAUGGCGACCGGCGCACGGGUGAGUAACACGUAUCCAACCUGCCGUCUACUCUUGGACAGCCUUCUGAAAGGAAGAUUAAUACAAGAUGGCAUCAUGAGUCCACAUGUUCACAUGAUUAAAGGUAUUCCGGUAGACGAUGGGGAUGCGUUCCAUUAGAUAGUAGGCGGGGUAACGGCCCACCUAGUCUUCGAUGGAUAGGGGUUCUGAGAGGAAGGUCCCCCACAUUGGAACUGAGACACGGUCCAAACUCCUACGGGAGGCAGCAGUGAGGAAUAUUGGUCAAUGGGCGAGAGCCUGAACCAGCCAAGUAGCGUGAAGGAUGACUGCCCUAUGGGUUGUAAACUUCUUUUAUAAAGGAAUAAAGUCGGGUAUGUAUACCCGUUUGCAUGUACUUUAUGAAUAAGGAUCGGCUAACUCCGUGCCAGCAGCCGCGGUAAUACGGAGGAUCCGAGCGUUAUCCGGAUUUAUUGGGUUUAAAGGGAGCGUAGAUGGAUGUUUAAGUCAGUUGUGAAAGUUUGCGGCUCAACCGUAAAAUUGCAGUUGAUACUGGAUAUCUUGAGUGCAGUUGAGGCAGGCGGAAUUCGUGGUGUAGCGGUGAAAUGCUUAGAUAUCACGAAGAACUCCGAUUGCGAAGGCAGCCUGCUAAGCUGCAA